GCUUGUCUCAAAGAUUAAGCCAUGCAUGUGUUAGUAUAAACGCCUUUAUACUGUGAAACUGCGAACGGCUCAUUAUAUCAGUUAUAGUUUAUUUGAUACUUUUCGACUAUUGGAUAACCGUAGUAAUUCUAGAGCUAAUACAUGCGCCAAGUCCCGUCUUACGUCGGGAUGUAUUUAUUAGAUUUCAAUCAACACUUUUUGCUGACUCAUGAUAACUUAGCGGAUCGCAGAGGCCUCGCGCCGGCGACAAAUCAUUCAAGUUUCUGCCCUAUCAGCUUUCGAUGGUACGGUAUUGGCCUACCAUGGUUACCACGGGUAACGGGGAAUUAGGGUUCGGUUCCGGAGAGGGGGCCUGAGAAAUGGCCACCACAUCCAAGGAAGGCAGCAGG
This 389-nucleotide ribosomal RNA is filed under the name uncultured marine stramenopile. Its description in RNAcentral is "partial small subunit ribosomal RNA". It matches the Rfam family "Eukaryotic small subunit ribosomal RNA", at positions 30 to 432 of the family's 1831-position model. The record is from RNAcentral.